RNAcentral lists this ribosomal RNA (420 nucleotides) under Scapharca sp. YF-2011. RNAcentral describes it as "partial 12S ribosomal RNA". It matches the Rfam family "Bacterial small subunit ribosomal RNA", at positions 789 to 1395 of the family's 1533-position model. The record is from RNAcentral. Lineage: Eukaryota; Metazoa; Mollusca; Bivalvia; Arcoida; Arcidae.
CGUUACUCCCGUGGUUAAGUAUAGUGUAUAAACAGUCAGUAAUCUGCUUGCCUGGCAACUACGCCUUCUCAGGUAAAAGUCGAAGUACUUGGCGGUCUAGUGAUAAACCAGCCCGUGAGACUUGACGGUUGAUCCGAUAAUCCGCGUAAAUUCUACUCUUUCUUGAAUUCCCAGUUGGUGUAUGGCCGUGCAGUGCUUCCUCUAAGGGAGUGGCAAGAUCCCUGUUUAUUAUUAGGAUGAUUUAAGCAAGUGGAGGAAGACAGGUCGUCAUGCCGCCCAUGAAGGAGGCUUAGUUGAGUCACAUUGACAAAAAAUCAAGCGGAACUGUGGAAGGAAGUAGCCCGGGGAAGAAGUAAUGGGUAGUAAGAAGAAAAUAAUUCGUUUUUCUGAAUCGUGAACUCCUAGGUGUACAAAUCGCCC